CAAACCCUCAGCGCAAGCUGGUAUUGAGCAGGUUGACCGUUAAAAAAGUCAACCGGCUUUAAAUUUGUAAGCUCUGCUGGCUGCUACGCCUAACUAAAAACAUAGUAAACUUUUGCUUGUUUGACGGUGAGGCUUGUGGACCGGCCUGAACAAAAUCUACAACUCAG
Molecule: unclassified non-coding RNA, 167 nt
Filed under: Orbilia cardui
Lineage: Eukaryota; Fungi; Ascomycota; Orbiliomycetes; Orbiliales; Orbiliaceae
Description: partial internal transcribed spacer 2
Source: RNAcentral